Molecule: non-coding RNA, 28 nt
Filed under: Homo sapiens (human)
Lineage: Eukaryota; Metazoa; Chordata; Mammalia; Primates; Hominidae
Source: RNAcentral
UGGAUUAACCGUGCCUCUGAGGAUGUGA